GGAGUGAUUGAUUGAAACCCCAUUUGAUUUUGAUGAGCUCAAAGCAUUUGAGUAUAUCUUUUGAUUACUAAUGAAUUCAAUUGAGUGUUUCAGUGAAAAUCCUGUCUAAGUGUCCCAAGACUUGGUUCAUAAUUUUUGGAUAAGUUAAGGAGUCUGUUUGAACCAAUGUCUGAGACUCGAGUCGACUCCCGAGUAUCACGAGUCGACUCCAA
RNAcentral lists this long non-coding RNA (212 nucleotides) under Phoenix dactylifera (date palm). RNAcentral describes it as "long non-coding RNA (PDAC_LNC022196)". Lineage: Eukaryota; Viridiplantae; Streptophyta; Magnoliopsida; Arecales; Arecaceae. The record is from RNAcentral.